RNAcentral lists this ribosomal RNA (613 nucleotides) under uncultured organism. RNAcentral describes it as "bacterial SSU rRNA". It matches the Rfam family "Bacterial small subunit ribosomal RNA", at positions 202 to 832 of the family's 1533-position model. The record is from RNAcentral.
UAAAGCUUUUGCGGUUUGGGAUGGGCCUGCGUCCUAUCAGGUAGUUGGUGAGGUAAAUGCUCACCAAGCCUAUGACGGGUAGCUGGUCUGAGAGGAUGGUCAGCCAGACUGGGACUGCGACACGGCCCAGACUCCUACGGGAGGCAGCAACUAGGAAUUGUGCGCAAUGGACGAAAGUCUGACGCCGCGACAUCGCGUGGAGGAUGAAGGUCUUCGGAUUGUAAACUCCUUUUCUUACCGAACAAGUUCUGAGUGUAGGUAAGGAAUAAGUGCCUGCUAACCACGUGCCAGAAGCAUCGGUAAUACGUGGGGCACGAGCGUUAUCCGGAUUUACUGGGCGUAAAGAGAAGCGUAGGCGGCUCGAUAAGUUUGGUGUUAAAUCUUCCGGCUCAACCGGAAACAAGCACCGAAAACUAUCGAGAUUGAGUCGAGUAGGGAAGCGGGGAAUUCCUGGUGGAGCGGUUAAAUGCGUAGAUAUCAGGAGGAAUACCAAUGGCGAAGGCACCUCUUUGGACUCGUACUGACGCUGAGGCUCGAAAGCGUGGGUAGCAAAACGGAUUAGAUACCCGUGUAGUCCACGCCGUAAACGAUCCCUGUUAGAUGUAUGUUUUGU